UAGUAGACGUUUUUGAUCCCUGGCUUCAGGACGAACGCUGGCGGCGUGCCUAAUAAGUGAAUCGAGCGAACAGAGAAGGAGCCUGCUCCUUUGACGUUAGCGGCGGACGGGUGAGUAACACGUGGGCAACCUACCUUAUAGUUUGGGAUAACUCCGGGAAACCGGGGCUAAUACCGAAUAAUCUGUUUCCCCUCAUGGUGAAAUAUUGGAAAGACGGUUUUCGGCUGUCGCUAUAGGAUGGGGCCCGCGGGCCAUUAGCUAAGGUGGGGAGGGUAACAGCUCACCAYUGCCACCAUCCCUACCCCAACCCUGGAAAGGGGGAAUCCGCCCCCCUGGGAAAGGAGGAACCGCCCCAAACUCCUACGGAA
RNAcentral lists this ribosomal RNA (368 nucleotides) under Lysinibacillus sphaericus. RNAcentral's name for it is "bacterial SSU rRNA". Lineage: Bacteria; Bacillati; Bacillota; Bacilli; Caryophanales; Bacillaceae. The record is from RNAcentral.